CCUGCAACCCGCUAUAGCAGGGUCGAAUUCCUGAGCCGAGGGUAUAUUCUGUGAGGUCUGACUGCAACAAGUGACGUCGAAAUCUGGGUCCUUCGCAAUGAGACAUCUUGAACUGUGUCAGGUCCGGAAGGAAGCAGCACUAAGGGAUUCAUCUUAUGUGACGAAGGGAAGCCUGGGUGGAGUUAACUACUGUAGUAACGCUUGGAGAGUAUAUUCGAGGCCAGGUGCACGG
This 232-nucleotide signal recognition particle RNA is filed under the name Syntrophomonas sp. Its description in RNAcentral is "signal recognition particle sRNA large type". It matches the Rfam family "Bacterial large signal recognition particle RNA", at positions 31 to 256 of the family's 256-position model. Rfam says of the family: The signal recognition particle (SRP) is a universally conserved ribonucleoprotein involved in the co-translational targeting of proteins to membranes. Archaeal SRP consists of a 7S RNA and homologues of the eukaryotic SRP19 and SRP54 proteins. The record is from RNAcentral. Lineage: Bacteria; Bacillati; Bacillota; Clostridia; Eubacteriales; Syntrophomonadaceae.